This 1936-nucleotide long non-coding RNA is filed under the name Gallus gallus (chicken). The record is from RNAcentral. Lineage: Eukaryota; Metazoa; Chordata; Aves; Galliformes; Phasianidae.
CUUCAAUGGAGUUGUUGUCUAAAAACAGCUGCAGUGUGUUAGCUGGAAUGCUUAAAGGCAUCUUUUUGAGGGAAUUUUUCGCUAUGUUGAGUUGCAUAAGACUGUUGAGUCCUUGGAAGGUGUCACUUUGAAGAGCGCUGUCCAACAAAUUAUUCUGGUGCAGAUCUAACAUAGUGAGAUUUUCCAAAUUGCUGAAGACUCCUUCUGGGAUUCUGGAGAUUUUGUUUCUAGCCAGCCUUAGCUGUUCCAAGCCCACCGGUAAUGGAGCUGGCACCUCUUCCAACUCAUUAUCUUCAAGGAAUAAGUACAACAGCCUUUUCAGCUUGCUGAGCACACCACUCUCAAUUCCAUUGUUGGUGAUUUUAUUCUUGUUCAGAUUUAUCCAUCUCAAAUGAGUGGCAUUAACAAAAGGCUUCUCUGAAAUUGUUUCAAUCAGGUUGUUUUGAAGAUAGAGGUACCAAAUUCUUGCUGGGAUUGCAGGUAUUUCUUUAAGUCCUUUGUUAUCACAGUAUAAUGCAUUGGGGAAACUAGGAGGGCAAAAACACUCUUGUGGACACUCAAAAGUGUAGUGAGACCAAUGCUCAGGAUCCAGCUCAUUAUAAACUUGUCUCACAGUUCGAGUCCACACAGAAUGGACUAAGAAUAAUAGCAAAAGACUUGGACAGACUUUUAGAGUCAUCAUUUGCCUCAGCUUUCUUGGAUCUCCCCUUUCUAUUGGUCACUGCUGUUAGACUGUAAUAGCUUGAGUCAGGCUACAAGCCGUGUUCUAUGAAUACAGCCUAAUAUAUACGCAUCAGUGACUACAGCUUUUAACCCCUAAAAUAGCUAAGGCACCUCAGCACCUAGGCAAGAAAAGGCAGGAAAUCCUGACUUUAAUAUCAAGCAACCACAGAGCUGAAGGAAUUUGAUUCUUACAUUUUAGCAAAUGAGAUGAUCUGGUCUAGAUGAAAUUGGUAACAAAAAGUGUUCCCUUAUUCAAUACAUUUGUCAAAUUAUACUUUACACACAAAGCUUGCUUACAUCAUAAUUCAUUCUCAUAAUACCUGAACUGGCCACAAAGCAUUAAAAACAGUGCCAUCUGUUCCUACGGAAAUCUUUUAUUUGAUUUUGAUUAAAUGCAGAUGCUGCCUUUCCAUUUAAAGAUGUAAUUCUUGAUUAGGGGAAGAAGAUAGCAAAAGCAUUUGCUAAGAAUUUUUUAAUAACAUAUAUUUUCAUUUCUUUAAGGAUUAAAACAUGCCUUUUCCUUUUUCCUCUGAGACAUUUUUGCAUAUAUUUCUACUAAGAUAUCAUAUUCCACAGUGCCUCCUGCAGUGAGGUCUGUUUUUAAUUAUCAAGGCACCAAUUAAUUAUCUUGUUUUAUCACUGAUCUAAAGUAAACUGUCUCCAGCCAACUCACUUUCCAAAGCAUAGAUGCAUAUUUCUCACAUUAAAUACUUCGGGGGGGAUUUUUGUUUUCUUUUCUGGUACAAAAAGUAACAGAUAAAUAUCAGGAAAACUAGCCAGCCUCAAAGCCAGAGCAUAAGUAUUUUAAAAGAAAAGUUAAUGAAAAUGCUACAAACAUAAAAUACAUCCUCAAAGUUUUUAUGAGUUUAUGUUUGUUAUAAAAUGUAUAAUAAAUUAAAUUCAGUUCAAUAUAGUUUUUUUAGUAAUAAAAUCUCCAAUAACUUAUUUAAUAAUGUUUAGUACUUUGAUUCCCAAAUUCAGAAUGUCUAAAAAGUGGUAUAAGAAAUAUCUACCAACUUAGUCUUCAUUUUAAUCCUCAUUCUUUUAUUUUGCAAAAAUGACAUAAAUAAACGGAAAUCAACCCUUAAGUACAUUUUCAGCUUCCACUGACUUCAGUAAGGCUAAUGUUAAGCACAUUUUAAACUUUUGUUGACAAGCACAUAUUUGUACUAGCUUGCUUUUUGUUUAUGGAAAAAAAAUACAUCUUUAUUAC